UUCCCCUAGUAACUGCGAGUGAAGCGGGAAAAGCUCAAAUUUGAAAUCUGGCAGUCUCUGAUUGUCCGAGUUGUAAUCUAGAGAAGUGUUACCCGCGUUGGACCGUGUACAAGUCUCCUGGAAUGGAGCGUCAUAGAGGGUGAGAAUCCCGUCUUUGACACGGACUCCCAAGGCUUUGUGGUGCGCUCUCAAAGAGUCGAGUUGUUUGGGAAUGCAGCUCAAAAUGGGUGGUAAAUGCCAUCUAAAGCUAAAUACAGGCGAGAGACCGAUAGCGAACAAGUACCGUGAGGGAAAGAUGAAAAGAACUUUGGAAAGAGAGUUAAACAGUACGUGAAAUUGCUGAAAGGGAAACGCUUGAAGUCAGUCGCGUUGGCUGGAAAUCAACCUUGCUUUUGUUGGGUGUACUUUCCAGUUGACGGGUCAGCAUCAGUUUUGACCAGUGGAAAAAGGCGUAGGAAAUGUGGCUUCCUCGGAAGUGUUAUAGUCCUGCGUUGUAUACAUUGGUUGGGACUGAGGAACUCAGCACGCCGCAAGGCCGGGGUUCGCCCACGUACGUGCUUAGGAUGCUGGCAAAAUGGCUUUAAUCGACCCGUCUUGAAACACGGACCAAGGAGUCUAACAUGCCUGCGAGUGUUUGGGUGGUAAACCCGAGCGCGUAAUGAAAGUGAAAGUUGAGAUCCCUGUCGUGGGGAGCAUCGACGCCCUGACCAGACCUUCUGUGACGGAUCAGCGGUAGAGCAUGUAUGUUGGGACCCGAAAGAUGGUGAACUAUGCCUGAAUAGGGUGAAGCCAGAGGAAACUCUGGUGGAGGCUCGUAGCGAUUCUGACGUGCAAAUCGAUCGUCAAAUUUGGGUAUAGGGGCGAAAGCCU
This 870-nucleotide ribosomal RNA is filed under the name Crepidotus sp. TM02_136. RNAcentral describes it as "eukaryotic LSU rRNA". It matches the Rfam family "Eukaryotic large subunit ribosomal RNA", at positions 75 to 932 of the family's 3401-position model. The record is from RNAcentral. Lineage: Eukaryota; Fungi; Basidiomycota; Agaricomycetes; Agaricales; Crepidotaceae.